Paramuricea clavata is the source of this 216-nucleotide non-coding RNA. The record is from the annotation of a GenBank genome assembly. NCBI's taxonomy places the organism in Eukaryota, Metazoa, Cnidaria, Anthozoa, Malacalcyonacea, Plexauridae.
CCAACAAAGAGCGAAUUCUGGCCAAUGCAAGAAAAUUAAAAGGAUCAGGAAUUGCGAUCUCGGAGCAAUUUCCAGAGGAAAUACUUAAAGUAAGAAAACGAUUAUAUCCUAUAUUAAAGAAAGCAAAACAAGAAAAAAGCGAGUUAAAAUGGUUAGGGACAAAUUAUUUAUCGAAGGUCAACUUUAUGUUGAACCUAGUAAGGAAUGAAUAUUGGC